Molecule: ribosomal RNA, 1905 nt
Filed under: Listeria monocytogenes
Lineage: Bacteria; Bacillati; Bacillota; Bacilli; Caryophanales; Listeriaceae
Description: partial 23S ribosomal RNA
Rfam family: Bacterial large subunit ribosomal RNA
Source: RNAcentral
UUGGUUAAGUUAGAAAGGGCGCACGGUGGAUGCCUUGGCACUAGGAGCCGAAGAAGGACGGGACUAACACCGAUAUGCUUUGGGGAGCUGUACGUAAGCGUUGAUCCAGAGAUUUCCGAAUGGGGGAACCCACUAUCUUUAGUCGGAUAGUAUCCUUACGUGAAUACAUAGCGUGAGGAAGGCAGACCCAGGGAACUGAAACAUCUAAGUACCUGGAGGAAGAGAAAGAAAAAUCGAUUUCCUGAGUAGCGGCGAGCGAAACGGAAAGAGCCCAAACCAAGAAGCUUGCUUCUUGGGGUUGUAGGACACUCUAUACGGAGUUACAAAAGAAAGUUAUAAAUGAAGCGGUCUGGAAAGGCCCGCCAAAGACGGUAACAGCCCGGUAGUUGAAAUGGCUUUCCCUCCAGAGUGGAUCCUGAGUACGGCGGAACACGUGAAAUUCCGUCGGAAUCCGGGAGGACCAUCUCCCAAGGCUAAAUACUCCCUAGUGACCGAUAGUGAACCAGUACCGUGAGGGAAAGGUGAAAAGCACCCCGGAAGGGGAGUGAAACAGUUCCUGAAACCGUGUGCCUACAAGUAGUUAGAGCCCGUUAAUGGGUGAUAGCGUGCCUUUUGUAGAAUGAACCGGCGAGUUACGAUUUGUUGCAAGGUUAAGCGGAAAAAGCGGAGCCGUAGCGAAAGCGAGUCUGAAUAGGGCGCAUAAGUAACAGGUCGUAGACCCGAAACCAGGUGAUCUACCCAUGUCCAGGAUGAAGGUAAGGUAAUACUUACUGGAGGUCCGAACCCACGCACGUUGAAAAGUGCGGGGAUGAGGUGUGGGUAGCGGAGAAAUUCCAAUCGAACUUGGAGAUAGCUGGUUCUCUCCGAAAUAGCUUUAGGGCUAGCCUCGAGGUAAAGAGUCAUGGAGGUAGAGCACUGUUUGGACUAGGGGCCCUUCUCGGGUUACCGAAUUCAGAUAAACUCCGAAUGCCAUGUACUUAUACUCGGGAGUCAGACUGCGAGUGAUAAGAUCCGUAGUCGAAAGGGAAACAGCCCAGACCACCAGUUAAGGUCCCCAAAUAUAUGUUAAGUGGAAAAGGAUGUGGGGUUGCUUAGACAACCAGGAUGUUGGCUUAGAAGCAGCCACCAUUGAAAGAGUGCGUAAUAGCUCACUGGUCGAGUGACCCCGCGCCGAAAAUGUACCGGGGCUAAACAUAUUACCGAAACUGUGGAUGAACCUCUUUAGAGGUUCGUGGUAGGAGAGCGUUCUAAGGGCGGUGAAGUCAGACCGGAAGGACUGGUGGAGCGCUUAGAAGUGAGAAUGCCGGUAUGAGUAGCGAAAGAAGGGUGAGAAUCCCUUCCACCGAAUAUCUAAGGUUUCCUGAGGAAGGCUCGUCCGCUCAGGGUUAGUCGGGACCUAAGCCGAGGCCGAUAGGCGUAGGCGAUGGACAACAGGUAGAGAUUCCUGUACCAGUGCUAAUUGUUUAACCGAUGGGGUGACACAGAAGGAUAGGGAAUCGCACGAAUGGAAAUGUGCGUCCAAGCAGUGAGUGUGAGAAGUAGGCAAAUCCGCUUCUCGCGAAGCAUGAGCUGUGAUGGGGAAGGAAAUUAAGUACGGAAGUUCCUGAUUUCACGCUGUCAAGAAAAGCCUCUAGGAAGAGUAGUACUGCCCGUACCGCAAACCGACACAGGUAGAUGAGGAGAGAAUCCUAAGGUGAGCGAGAGAACUCUCGUUAAGGAACUCGGCAAAAUGACCCCGUAACUUCGGGAGAAGGGGUGCUCUAUUAGGGUGCAAGCCCGAGAGAGCCGCAGUGAAUAGGCCCAGGCGACUGUUUAGCAAAAACACAGGUCUCUGCAAAACCGUAAGGUGACGUAUAGGGGCUGACGCCUGCCCGGUGCUGGAAGGUUAAGAGGAGUGCUUAGCUU